AAUAAUUCUAAACCAGACACAACGAGUCGACAUGUAUGUUUACGAUGGAUUCGAUACGACUACGACAUGGAAAUGUGGUAUAUUCUUGUGGGAAUUCUGAAAAAACUUACCCAGCUUGUAACUAAACGGGUGAUGUCAGUUAAACUACACUCCCAUGAUAAAUCAAUAACUUCCCUUUCUUAAACCCGUCUCUCAGUUUUCAACCGCCAUUGUAUUUUUAUUACCUUCUCUUUGCCGAAUGUUUUGCUCUCAAGCAACACAGAACACAGGCGACGGUUUAAUGACACCGUUUCAGCUCCUCAGAUUAGAAUUCCUCAACCAUUCGCCAUUCGGUGCUCUGGAGACACGGGCUGAGAUAAAUCCCAUGUUUGACUGCCAUCUUUAGGGGAUCUGGAAAACUGUCCUUAAGGGGCACAUAUAUAUUUAAUAUCUUGAAGUUUAUCCAGGUUUUUCAUUAUGGACUGAAGUAGUCACUUACUAAAAUUAUAUUUAAAAAUACUUUUGAUAAUUUUACCUAUGUGAAAUGAAAGAAGCUGUUUUAGUGUUUUUGUCACACUUUAUAUUAAGCCUACAGUACAUGUUACCAUAUAGGCUAGCUACUACUGAGUAGCAUUAUGUACAACAUAAUGUAUAAUAUGUAGCCUAAUAUUUAUAAACAUUAUGUAGCCUAUGUCAUAUUUAAUCAUUCUUUUUUGGAGCACCCAUUGUUUAUUGUUGUAAUUAAUUAUUUUAAUGUGUAGGAUAAAAUAUGAAGGCUAACAAAAACAGCUAAGUGUAUUAAGCGUUGCGUGUAGGUUAUAGCUAGCCUAUUGCCAAUGCACAGCUAUACCGUACAUCAAAGAUAUGAAUUUUAAUAAAUGUAGUAGGCUUAGUAGGCCUAUCAGACAUUAGGCCUACAUACAGAACAUUCGUUUAGAAAUAUCGGCUUGCUGUUAGUUCUGUUCUUCCUGCUGGGUAAGUAGCUAAGUUUCAUAAUGAGCGUUUCGUGACCUUUGCAAAUGAACAUGAUUAUUGAUUUUCUUCAUUUAUCCGCAGUCAACGACAUAUAAAGACGACGCCUUUUCCAUCUGUUGUUUAAGAAGAAAGAAGAAAGCUUUUAUCUGGCUUUGACCACAUACUGAACUCUGUCACCACGGCUGCAGCUUACGAAGGACAAGAGCCGGCAAAGCAGCCUCGGAUGUCAGUGAAAGGUGCGCCAGCCCGGCUCCCAUCUUCACCUGAGCUCUCUACACAUGGAAUCCCCAUCGUGCAGGAACUUUAGUGAUUGAGAGGUUUUUUGGACUUUCGGAACCCCAAGGGAGAGGUCAGUGGGCCAGAACACACUAGUGCGGACAGAGGGAGUUGCCCG
Molecule: long non-coding RNA, 1348 nt
Organism: Megalobrama amblycephala (Wuchang bream)
Lineage: Eukaryota; Metazoa; Chordata; Actinopteri; Cypriniformes; Xenocyprididae
Exons: 3
Source: RefSeq, a predicted model, not a curated record